RNAcentral lists this ribosomal RNA (513 nucleotides) under uncultured bacterium. RNAcentral's name for it is "partial 16S ribosomal RNA". It matches the Rfam family "Bacterial small subunit ribosomal RNA", at positions 28 to 523 of the family's 1533-position model. The record is from RNAcentral.
GAUGAACGCUGGCGGCGUGCCUAAUACAUGCAAGUCGAGCGAACAGACGAGGAGCUUGCUCCUCUGACGUUAGCGGCGGACGGGUGAGUAACACGUGGAUAACCUACCUAUAAGACUGGGAUAACUUCGGGAAACCGGAGCUAAUACCGGAUAACAUGUUGAACCGCAUGGUUCAAAAGUGAAAGACGGUCUUGCUGUCACUUAUAGAUGGAUCCGCGCCGCAUUAGCUAGUUGGUAAGGUAACGGCUUACCAAGGCAACGAUGCGUAGCCGACCUCAGAGGGUGAUCGGCCACACUGGAACUGAGACACGGUCCAGACUCCUACGGGAGGCAGCAGUAGGGAAUCUUCCGUAAUGGGCGAAAGCCUGACGGAGCAACGCCGCGUGAGUGAAGAAGGUCUUCGGAUCGUAAAACUCUGUUAUUAGGGAAGAACAAAUGUGUAAGUAACUAUGCACGUCUUGACGGUACCUAAUCAGAAAGCCACGGCUAACUACGUGCCAGCAGCCGCGGUAA